GAUGAACGCUGGCGGCGUGCUUAACACAUGCAAGUCGAACGGAAAGGCCCUGCGUAUGUGGUGUGCUCGAGGGGCGAACGGGGAAGUAACGCGGGAGUAACCUGCCCUGGACUUUGUGAUAACUUCAGGAGACUGAGGCUAAGACACGAUAGGAGCUCCUGCUGCAUGGUACGGGUUGGAAAGUUUCGGCGGUUGGGAAUGGACUCGCGGCAUAUCAGCUUGUUGGUGGGGUAGUGGCUUACCAAGGCACGGCCGGGUAGACGGACGGAGAGGGUGACCGGCCACACUAGGACUGAGAUGCGGCACAGACUCCUACGGGAGGCAGCGGUGGGGAAUAUUGUACAAUGGGAGGAAGCCUGAUGCAGCAACGCGGCGUGCGGGAUGACGACAUGCGGGUUGGUAACCGCUUCCGCAUGUGACGAAGCGUGAGUGACGGUAAUGGGUAAAGAAGCACCGGCUAACUACGUG
Molecule: ribosomal RNA, 468 nt
Filed under: uncultured bacterium
Lineage: Bacteria
Description: partial 16S ribosomal RNA
Rfam family: Bacterial small subunit ribosomal RNA
Source: RNAcentral